GACGAACGCUGGCGGCGUGCUUAACACAUGCAAGUCGAACGGAAAGGCCCUGCUUUUGUGGGGUGCUCGAGUGGCGAACGGGGGAGUAACACGUGAGUAACCUGCCCUUGAAUUUGGGAUAACUUCAGGAAACUGGGGCUAAUACCGGAUAGGAGCUCCUGCUGCGUGGUGGGGGUUGGAAAGUUUCGGCGGUUGGGGAUGGACUCGCGGCUUACCAGCUUGUUGGUGGGGUAGUGGCUUACCAAGGCUUUGACGGGUAGCCGGCCUGAGAGGGUGACCGGCCACCAUGGGCCUGCGGUAGGGCCCAGACUCCUACGGGCGGCAGCAGUGGGGAAUAUUGCACAGUGGGCGCGAGCCUGUUGCGGCAACGCCGCGUGCGGGAUGACGGCCUUCGGGUUGUAAACCGCUUUCGCCUGUGACGAAGCGUUAGUGACGGUAAUGGGUAAAGAAGCACCGGCUAACUACGUG
This 468-nucleotide ribosomal RNA is filed under the name uncultured bacterium. RNAcentral's name for it is "partial 16S ribosomal RNA". It matches the Rfam family "Bacterial small subunit ribosomal RNA", at positions 28 to 507 of the family's 1533-position model. The record is from RNAcentral.